AUAGCUAGGGCCAACUGGAAGUCCAGGGUUGGGCCCCGAAACUACCUCAACACCCUGUCCACGGCUCUGAACAUCCUGGAGAAAUACGGCCGCAACCUUCUCAGCCCUCAGCGGCCUCGGUACUGGCGUGGUGUCAAGUUUAAUAACCCUGUCUUUCGCAGCACGGUGGAUGCUGUGCAGGGGGGCCGAGAUGUGCUGCGAUUAUAUGGCUACACAGAGGAGCAACCAGAUGGGUUGAGCUUCCCCGAAGGGCAGGAGGAGCCAGAUGAGCACCAGGUUGCUACAGUCACACUGGAAGUACUGCUGCUUCGGACAGAGCUCAGCCUGCUAUUGCAGAAUACUCAUCCAAGACAGCAGGCACUGGAGCAGCUGUUGGAAGACAAGGUUGAAGAUGAUAUGCUGCAGCUUUCAGAAUUUGACCCCCUAUUGAGAGAGAUUGCUCCUGGCCCCCUCACCACACCCUCUGUCCCAGCAGAUUCAGAUGUAGCCUGGUCUUUUUUGGAAAGAUGUUCCAUCUCUCCUGCCCUCCAGGCUCCACUCCUGGUCCCUGCUUCCUC
RNAcentral lists this unclassified non-coding RNA (557 nucleotides) under Homo sapiens (human). RNAcentral describes it as "ring finger protein 31 (ENSG00000285152.2)". Lineage: Eukaryota; Metazoa; Chordata; Mammalia; Primates; Hominidae. The record is from RNAcentral.